AUGAGUAUCAUUUGUGGGAACUGUCGAGGUUUGGGGCCGAACUCGAUAGUUGGCGAGCUUUGCUAGCUUGUGAAGCUCUACCGCCCAUCCCUCCUCUUCCUUUCGGAGACGAAGAUGAGGGACUCAAGAGUGAGGAGCUUUAAGUGGUCUCUGGGUUUUAAGUGUUGCUUUGCUAUUGGAUGUGAGGGCCUCAGUGGGUGUCUUGCCUUGUUUUGGUCAUCUACAGUUGAUGUUUCAGUUGAAGUUUAUAACAAGCACUGCAUCGAGGCCCGUGUGAAGUUGAAUGAUGGUAUGGUUUGGCAUGCAACCUUUGUAUAUGGGGAACCCAAAUGUGAAGAUAGACAUAUAUUCUGGGAUUUUCUUUGUCACUAG
Molecule: ribosomal RNA, 372 nt
Filed under: Triticum aestivum (bread wheat)
Lineage: Eukaryota; Viridiplantae; Streptophyta; Magnoliopsida; Poales; Poaceae
Description: partial small subunit ribosomal RNA
Source: RNAcentral